GUUUCGAUUGUCAUCUUAGGACCGAUGGACUGAAAAUCCAUGUGUCGCCAGUUCAAUUCUGGCCCGAACCACCA
This 74-nucleotide transfer RNA is filed under the name Mycoplasmatota bacterium. RNAcentral describes it as "Tenericutes bacterium (marine metagenome) tRNA-Phe". It matches the Rfam family "tRNA", at positions 11 to 71 of the family's 71-position model. Rfam says of the family: Transfer RNA (tRNA) molecules are approximately 80 nucleotides in length. Their secondary structure includes four short double-helical elements and three loops (D, anti-codon, and T loops). Further hydrogen bonds mediate the characteristic L-shaped molecular structure. tRNAs have two regions of fundamental functional importance: the anti-codon, which is responsible for specific mRNA codon recognition, and the 3' end, to which the tRNAs corresponding amino acid is attached (by aminoacyl-tRNA synthetases). tRNAs cope with the degeneracy of the genetic code in two manners: having more than one tRNA (with a specific anti-codon) for a particular amino acid; and 'wobble' base-pairing, i.e. permitting non-standard base-pairing at the 3rd anti-codon position. The record is from RNAcentral. Lineage: Bacteria; Bacillati; Mycoplasmatota.